GACGAACGCUGGCGGCGUGCUUAACACAUGCAAGUCGAACGGAAAGGCCCUGCUUUUGUGGGGUGCUCGAGUGGCGAACGGGUGAGUAACACGUGAGUAACCUGCCCUUGACUUUGGGAUAACUUCAGGAAACUGGGGCUAAUACCGGAUAGGAGCUCCUGCUGCAUGGUGGGGGGUGGAAAGUUUCGGCGGUUGGGGAUGGACGCGCGGCUUAUCAGCUUGUUGGUGGGGUAGUGGCUUACCAAGGCUUUGACGGGUAGCCGGCCUGAGAGGGUGACCGGCCACAUUGGGACUGAGAUACGGCCCAGACUCCUACGGGAGGCAGCAGUGGGGAAUAUUGCACAAUGGGCGGAAGCCUGAUGCAGCAACGCCGCGUGCGGGAUGACGGCCUUCGGGUUGUAAACCGCUUUCGCCUGUGACGAAGCGUGAGUGACGGUAAUGGGUAAAGAAGCACCGGCUAACUACGUG
RNAcentral lists this ribosomal RNA (468 nucleotides) under uncultured bacterium. Its description in RNAcentral is "partial 16S ribosomal RNA". It matches the Rfam family "Bacterial small subunit ribosomal RNA", at positions 28 to 507 of the family's 1533-position model. The record is from RNAcentral.